Molecule: ribosomal RNA, 465 nt
Filed under: Vreelandella stevensii
Lineage: Bacteria; Pseudomonadati; Pseudomonadota; Gammaproteobacteria; Oceanospirillales; Halomonadaceae
Description: partial 16S ribosomal RNA
Rfam family: Bacterial small subunit ribosomal RNA
Source: RNAcentral
ACUACGGGUGGCUGCAGUGGGGAAUAUUGGACAAUGGGCGAAAGCCUGAUCCAGCCAUGCCGCGUGUGUGAAGAAGGCCUUCGGGUUGUAAAGCACUUUCAGUGGGGAAGAAAGCCUUGGGGCUAAUACCCUCGAGGAAGGACAUCACCCACAGAAGAAGCACCGGCUAACUCCGUGCCAGCAGCCGCGGUAAUACGGGGGGUGCGAGCGUUAAUCGGAAUUACUGGGCGUAAAGCGCGCGUAGGCGGUCUGAUAAGCCGGUUGUGAAAGCCCCGGGCUCAACCUGGGAACGGCAUCCGGAACUGUCAGGCUAGAGUGCAGGAGAGGACGGUAGAAUUCCCGGUGUAGCGGUGAAAUGCGUAGAGAUCGGGAGGAAUACCAGUGGCGAAGGCGGCCUUCUGGACUGACACUGACGCUGAGGUGCGAAAGCGUGGGUAGCAAACAGGAUUAGAUACCCCAGUAGUC